RNAcentral lists this ribosomal RNA (429 nucleotides) under Gemmatimonadota bacterium. RNAcentral's name for it is "Gemmatimonadetes bacterium partial 16S ribosomal RNA". It matches the Rfam family "Bacterial small subunit ribosomal RNA", at positions 355 to 776 of the family's 1533-position model. The record is from RNAcentral. Lineage: Bacteria; Pseudomonadati; Gemmatimonadota.
UAGGGAAUCUUCGGCAAUGGACGAAAGUCUGACCGAGCAACGCCGCGUGAGUGAAGAAGGUUUUCGGAUCGUAAAACUCUGUUGUUAGAGAAGAACAAGGACGUUAGUAACUGAACGUCCUCUGACGGUAUCUAACCAGAAAGCCACGGCUAACUACGUGCCAGCAGCCGCGGUAAUACGUAGGUGGCAAGCGUUGUCCGGAUUUAUUGGGCGUAAAGCGAGCGCAGGCGGUUUCUUAAGUCUGAUGUGAAAGUCCCCGGCUCAACCGGGGAGGGUCAUUGGAAACUGGGAGACUUGAGUGCAGAAGAGGAGAGUGGAAUUCCAUGUGUAGCGGUGAAAUGCGUAGAUAUAUGGAGGAACACCAGUGGCGAAGGCGGCUCUCUGGUCUGUAACUGACGCUGAGGCUCGAAAGCGUGGGGAGCAAACAGG